AACCUCCAUUUUGAAGGGAGUUACGCGCCUUUGAUGUUGGCGGCGAGAGAGUGAGAGAGGGCAGAGAAAGAGACAGUCGUUUUCUCUGCCGUCGCUCACUCUCUCAUUUACAAUUUUAAAGGCGCAUAACUCCCGUCAAAAUGGAGCUU
Molecule: small RNA, 149 nt
Filed under: Caenorhabditis brenneri
Lineage: Eukaryota; Metazoa; Nematoda; Chromadorea; Rhabditida; Rhabditidae
Description: sRNA CBN34325
Source: RNAcentral